UCUGGGAUAACUUCGGGAAACCGGGGCUAAUGCCGGAUAACAUUUAGAACCGCAUGGUUCUAAAGUGAAAGAUGGUUUUGCUAUCACUUAUAGAUGGACCCGCGCUGUAUUAGCUAGUUGGUAAGGUAAUGGCUUACCAAGGCAACGAUACGUAGCCGACCUGAGAGGGUGAUCGGCCACACUGGAACUGAGACACGGUCCAGACUCCUACGGGAGGCAGCAGUAGGGAAUCUUCCGCAAUGGGCGAAAGCCUGACGGAGCAACGCCGCGUGAGUGAUGAAGGGUUUCGGCUCGUAAAACUCUGUUAUUAGGGAAGAACAAACGUGUAAGUAACUGUGCACGUCUUGACGGUACCUAAUCAGAAAGCCACGGCUAACUACGUGCCAGCAGCCGCGGUAAUACGUAGGUGGCAAGCGUUAUCCGGAAUUAUUGGGCGUAAAGCGCGCGUAGGCGGUUUCUUAAGUCUGAUGUGAAAGCCCACGGCUCAACCGUGGAGGGUCAUUGGAAACUGGGAAACUUGAGUGCAGAAGAGGAAAGUGGAAUUCCAUGUGUAGCGGUGAAAUGCGCAGAGAUAUGGAGGAACACCAGUGGCGAAGGCGACUUUCUGGUCUGUAACUGACGCUGAUGUGCGAAAGCGUGGGGAUCGAACAGGAUUAGAUACCCUGGUAGUCCACGCCGUAAGCGAUGAGUGCUAAGUGUUAGGGGGUUUCCGCCCCUUAGUGCUGCAGCUAACGCAUUAAGCACUCCGCCUGGGGAGUACGACCGCAAGGUUGAAACUCAGAG
Molecule: ribosomal RNA, 783 nt
Filed under: uncultured Staphylococcus sp.
Lineage: Bacteria; Bacillati; Bacillota; Bacilli; Caryophanales; Staphylococcaceae
Description: bacterial SSU rRNA
Rfam family: Bacterial small subunit ribosomal RNA
Source: RNAcentral